Molecule: ribosomal RNA, 253 nt
Filed under: uncultured bacterium
Lineage: Bacteria
Description: partial 16S ribosomal RNA
Rfam family: Bacterial small subunit ribosomal RNA
Source: RNAcentral
UACAGAGGGUGCAAGCGUUGUUCGGAAUUACUGGGCGUAAAGCGCGUGUAGGCGGUCUGGUAAGUCGGUCGUGAAAGCCCUUGGCUUAACCAAGGAACUGCGAUCGAAACUACUAGACUAGAGUAUCGGAGGGGGUGGCGGAAUUCCCGGUGUAGAGGUGAAAUUCGUAGAUAUCGGGAGGAACACCUGUGGCGAAGGCGGCCACCUGGAAGAUUACUGACGCUGAGACGCGAAAGCGUGGGGAGCAAACAGG